ACCCUCUCAGGCUGGAGAGAUGCAGUAUUCUGUGUCUACCCUAGGACAGGGAGAGAGAAAGGACUCCUUAAGACCACAAUGAGUAUGCUAGUGACUGUUCUUGAGGGGAAAGAAAGCA
Molecule: small nucleolar RNA, 118 nt
Organism: Grammomys surdaster
Lineage: Eukaryota; Metazoa; Chordata; Mammalia; Rodentia; Muridae
Product: small nucleolar RNA SNORA64/SNORA10 family
Exons: 1
Source: RefSeq, a predicted model, not a curated record